AGUGAUCGCUGGCGGCGUGCUUAACACAUGCAAGUCGUAGCGGAUUUUAGCAGCUUAUCGCUAAAAGUUAGCGGCAGACGGGUGAGUAAUAUUUGGGCAAUCUACCCUCGAGUGGAAAACAACCUUCCGAAAGGAGGGCUAAUGUUCCAUAAGACCACAGAAGGACAUCCUUCAGGGGUCAAAGCUCCGCAAGGGGCGCUUGAGGAGGAGCCCGAAUCCUAUCAGCUAGUGGUGAGGUAAUGGCUCACCAAGGCUUUGACGGGUAGCCGGCCUGAAAGGGUGAUCGGCCACACUGGCACUGAGACACGGGCCAGA
RNAcentral lists this ribosomal RNA (315 nucleotides) under uncultured bacterium. Its description in RNAcentral is "bacterial SSU rRNA". It matches the Rfam family "Bacterial small subunit ribosomal RNA", at positions 29 to 335 of the family's 1533-position model. The record is from RNAcentral.